CCUACGGGGGGCAGCAGUGGGGAAUAUUGCACAAUGGGGGGAACCCUGAUGCAGCGACGCCGCGUGAGUGAAGAAGUAUUUCGGUAUGUAAAGCUCUAUCAGCAGGGAAGAAAAUGACGGUACCUGACUAAGAAGCCCCGGCUAACUACGUGCCAGCAGCCGCGGUAAUACGUAGGGGGCAAGCGUUAUCCGGAUUUACUGGGUGUAAAGGGAGCGUAGACGGCAGAGCAAGUCUGAAGUGAAAGCCCGGGGCCCAACUGCGGGACUGCUUUGGAAACUGCCCGGCUAGAGUGCUGGAGAGGUAAGCGGAAUUCCUAGUGUAGCGGUGAAAUGCGUAGAUAUUAGGAGGAACACCAGUGGCGAAGGCGGCUUACUGGACAGUAACUGACGUUGAGGCUCGAAAGCGUGGGGAGCAAACAGGAUUAGAUACCCGGGUAGUC
RNAcentral lists this ribosomal RNA (440 nucleotides) under uncultured bacterium. Its description in RNAcentral is "partial 16S ribosomal RNA". It matches the Rfam family "Bacterial small subunit ribosomal RNA", at positions 338 to 795 of the family's 1533-position model. The record is from RNAcentral.